RNAcentral lists this ribosomal RNA (484 nucleotides) under uncultured Alphaproteobacteria bacterium. RNAcentral's name for it is "bacterial SSU rRNA". It matches the Rfam family "Bacterial small subunit ribosomal RNA", at positions 900 to 1382 of the family's 1533-position model. The record is from RNAcentral. Lineage: Bacteria; Pseudomonadati; Pseudomonadota; Alphaproteobacteria.
CUUAAAGGAAUUGACGGGGCCCGCACAAGCGGUGGAGUAUGUGGUUUAAUUCGAAGCAACGCGCAGAACCUUACCAGCCCUUGACAUCCCGGUCGCGGAUCGCAGAGAUGCUUUCCUUCAGUUCGGCUGGACCGGUGACAGGUGCUGCAUGGCUGUCGUCAGCUCGUGUCGUGAGAUGUUGGGUUAAGUCCCGCAACGAGCGCAACCCCCGCCUUCAGUUGCCAACGGUUCGGCCGUGCACUCUGGAGGAACUGCCUGUGACAAGCAGGAGGAAGGUGGGGAUGACGUCAAGUCCUCAUGGCCCUUAUGGGCUGGGCUACACACGUGCUACAAUGGCGGUGACAGAGGGAUGCAAUACCGCGAGGUGGAGCAAAUCCCUAAAAGCCGUCUCAGUUCGGAUUGUUCUCUGCAACUCGAGAGCAUGAAGUUGGAAUCGCUAGUAAUCGCGGAUCAGCUCGCCGCGGUGAAUACGUUCCCGGGCCUU